Molecule: non-coding RNA, 2627 nt
Organism: Lonchura striata (white-rumped munia)
Lineage: Eukaryota; Metazoa; Chordata; Aves; Passeriformes; Estrildidae
Source: RefSeq, a predicted model, not a curated record
CGGAAUUUUCCCUAUAAAAACCGCUUGGGUCAGGAUGGAGGUGUGUGGGCAUAGGGGAAAACCUUUCCUGAGGCUGACUCCUUGUUGCACACCCAGGGACGAUUCCUGGGCUCGGCACUGUCUUUUUCUGUGGCUGGCUAGAUAGAAUUUGACCGCUAAUAAAAUUAUUUUUUCCUUAUUUUUAAUCUGGCUGAAUAAAUUCUCAUUUAUAACAAUCUUGGUGACCCCUUACGUGAUCUGGUUUGGAGGUAUCCAGGGAGUUCCCUAUCCUCGAUCUGGGUGGCGCCCUGCUGAUUUCAGCAGCUGGACAGGACUGAGGAACUCCACAGAACCAACCAGAUUCCAAAAACAGCCAAAAAUCCACGUUAAGGAAAGGAUAUAAAUGGGCCCAGAGCUCUUGGAACUCGGAGCUAAAUCUCCGAGGCUGCAGCAGCAAACUUUCACUCGUAAAAUCAACGUGCAUGAAGAAUCCAUGUGGGAAAAGGAGCCGUAAGUAUUGCAUGGUUGAGUGGGGUGUGUUGGGUGUGUGUGUGAGACGUGACAUAGUCACGGCGUGAGUGCGGACGCCAAUAAAACUGCAGUUCCACUAGCCUGAGAGGGAGGUGGUCAGCUACGGGGGAAGCGAAAAGGUUCCCGUAUACUCACAACACGCAUACAACCUGAAACUCGGUGAGUUACAGGGAUCCAUCCAUGGACCGGUCAGGGAGGGAAGGUACGUUCUCGUGGACUCGAGAAACUGGUAAACCUCACUGGCUCUGGGCUCGGGGAGCCCAACAAACAAGUAAAAGAGAGCUCACUGUUCUUCCAACUGAAAACUCAUGGACCAGUUCACCGUGAGGUAACUAGGUUGGCAAGGUUCGGUCGGGAACAGACCGGUUUAAACACUUGGUAAGCUUCGGUCCGGGACAGGACCGAAAUACACAUUUUAGCACGCGGGUUGCUGACUUCUUGGAACGGCUUGCAGACACUGACUUGGAAUAUGGUAAGGAAAACCUUUAAUAUGGGAAAAAAAAACAGUAAGGUGCGGGGGGGACCAAAAGGGAAAAAUCCUAGGCCAGGAAAGGGUGAACACCUGACAACAAGAAAAGGUAAGCAUUCAAAAACAAGAAGGGCGGAAACAGAGGAAUUGCUUGAGAUUCCGAGGGAAAGUCCCCUGGGUUGGAUGUUAGAACACUGGGAGAACUGUUCUGUGAGAUGGAAAAGGUCCAAAGAAAAAAUGAUACACUAUUGUGUAGAAGUAUGGGGAAAUAUGGAAAUUGGAAAAUACCAAUACUGGCCUGUUUUUGGUACCUUCGAAAAUGAGCUCUGCCAAGCACUUUUGGAUCACUUGUACGAGGAAGAGGAAUGGGACGAUGAGGAAUUGGAUUAUGCCAGGCUAUGGGAAUAUGCCAGUGCGUGGCUGUUCCCUAUUAAGACCUCUGGCAACAAGGUAAGCUCGGAAAAAACUUGGGAACCCCUAGGAAACCUGCCCCCUCCAUACCAGGUUCCCCCAGCUCGAGCACGGGUCCCGGCAGCUCCCCCAUCAGCGCCCCUGGCUCAGCCUGCACUGCCACCUAAUGUACAAGUCCCUGAUGCAGGUGCUCCGGGACCUUCUCAAGCCCCUGCCUCCACACAGCAGGGGGACACACACGCACACACAUAUCACACUGGGGAAAGCACAUCUCCUCCUGCCAGUAGAACCCGGCAGAAAACGAGGAGAGAAAACACGGGAGAUAGCGAUGAUGAAAGGGACAGACCUAAUCUAUACCCCAGGGCACCUCAGAUGGACUACCCCCGGGACCCCCUCCCACAUCUCCCCCACUUUUAUUUACUAAAUACACCUCUCCCAGAGUUUUAACUACAGUCCUUUUGAAGAGGGCAAGUGCAACUAAAAUUAUAAUGAUAAUUAGAAAAAUCCAUGAGAGUCCCUUCAGAAUGGAGGCUGUCCACCUGGGGACACCCCACUACGAGAACAGUCUAUUUACAGGGUCCACAGCUAAAGUUUCUGUUUUGAUGAUUUCACUUCUCUCUGGAUCUGCUGGAUGUUGGCUUGAAUGGAGGUGCUUCUUGAUGACAGGUUGAAACAGCACAACCCCUCGAAGUCCUCGCAGCUGUGGCCAUGGGCGAGCAGCAGGAAAUCAAUCGCCACUCUAUUUUGCAAGGUGGCGUGCCUGGUGAUCUGCUUGUCCGCCAAUAGAUUGGAAAGAGUGGGGGAUGAGGCAUUGGCAUGCUUGAUAAUCCAGCAGUCCAGGUGAGAAAGCUCACCAAGGGCCUUAGCAGUUGCAUACCAUGGGAGAAAGAUGGAGGCAGUGACCCUCCUUGUCUUACCCCAAUUGUAAAUUUCAGAAUCGCAAUUUGCAUCGAAUUGAGCAUAGAAUCUUUUUGCAUGAGCCAAUUGUCUCUCUUUCUUCCAAUCCAGAAUUGGUGUUUUAUUCAGAGUAAGGGUAGCAAGCUUGCCAAGGCUGCAUGGGCCCCCCUGGAACCGAGAGGGGAUUCCCGACCAUACUCUGUCCCCACAGGCAACCGCGUUGUCCGGCAGUGAUGAGACUGAGGUGUCUGGGUUGUGACACAUCGGGGGAUCUGCCGUGGUGGUCUCAUCAAGAGAAGCAGCUCCUUCGGCAGGACUCCCGAGAGAAGCGGCCGGAGCG